Molecule: ribosomal RNA, 253 nt
Filed under: uncultured bacterium
Lineage: Bacteria
Description: partial 16S ribosomal RNA
Rfam family: Bacterial small subunit ribosomal RNA
Source: RNAcentral
UACGAAGGGUGCAAACGUUGCUCGGAAUUAUUGGGCGUAAAGCGCACGUAGGCGGCUCUGCAAGUCCCAUGUGAAAUCCCACGGCUCAACCGUGGAAGUGCAUGGGAAACUGCAGAGCUUGAGUACUUAAGAGGAUCGCGGAAUUCCCGGUGUAGAGGUGAAAUUCGUAGAUAUCGGGAGGAACACCAGUGGCGAAGGCGGCGAUCUGGGAAGAUACUGACGCUGAGGUGCGAAAGCGUGGGGAGCAAACAGG